This 497-nucleotide ribosomal RNA is filed under the name uncultured bacterium. Its description in RNAcentral is "partial 16S ribosomal RNA". It matches the Rfam family "Bacterial small subunit ribosomal RNA", at positions 28 to 507 of the family's 1533-position model. The record is from RNAcentral.
GAUGAACGCUGGCGGCGUGCCUAAUACAUGCAAGUCGAGCGAACGGACGAGAAGCUUGCUUCUCUGAUGUUAGCGGCGGACGGGUGAGUAACACGUGGAUAACCUACCUAUAAGACUGGGAUAACUUCGGGAAACCGGAGCUAAUACCGGAUAAUAUUUUGAACCGCAUGGUUCAAAAGUGAAAGACGGUCUUGCUGUCACUUAUAGAUGGAUCCGCGCUGCAUUAGCUAGUUGGUAAGGUAACGGCUUACCAAGGCAACGAUGCAUAGCCGACCUGAGAGGGUGAUCGGCCACACUGGAACUGAGACACGGUCCAGACUCCUACGGGAGGCAGCAGUAGGGAAUCUUCCGCAAUGGGCGAAAGCCAGACGGAGCAACGCCGCGUGAGUGAUGAAGGUCUUCAGAUCGUAAAACUCUGUUAUUAGGGAAGAACAUAUGUGUAAGUAACUGUGCACAUCUUGACGGUACCUAAUCAGAAAGCCACGGCUAACUACGUG